GACGGGUUAGUAACGCGUGGGAACGUGCCCUUCUCUACGGAAUAGCCAUUGGAAACGAUGAGUAAUACCGUAUACGCCCUUCGGGGGAAAGAUUUAUCGGAGAAGGAUCGGCCCGCGUUAGAUUAGAUAGUUGGUGGGGUAACGGCCUACCAAGUCUACGAUCUAUAGCUGGUUUUAGAGGAUGAUCAGCAACACUGGGACUGAGACACGGCCCAGACUCCUACGGGAGGCAGCAGUGGGGAAUCUUAGACAAUGGGCGCAAGCCUGAUCUAGCCAUGCCGCGUGAGUGAUGAAGGCCUUAGGGUCGUAAAGCUCUUUCGCCAGGGAUGAUAAUGACAGUACCUGGUAAAGAAACCCCGGCUAACUCCGUGCCAGCAGCCGCGGUAAUACGGAGGGGGUUAGCGUUGUUCGGAAUUACUGGGCGUAAAGCGUACGUAGGCGGAUUAGAAAGUUAGGGGUGAAAUCCCAGGGCUCAACCCUGGAACUGCCUCUAAAACUACUAGUCUAGAGUUCGAGAGAGGUGAGUGGAACUCCGAGUGUAGAGGUGAAAUUCGUAGAUAUUCGGAAGAACACCAGUGGCGAAGGCGGCUCACUGGCUCGAUACUGACGCUGAGGUACGAAAGUGUGGGGAGCAAACAGGAUUAGAUACCCUGGUAGUCCACACCGUAAACGAUGAAUGCCAGUCGUCGGGCAGUAUACUGU
RNAcentral lists this ribosomal RNA (702 nucleotides) under Roseovarius aestuarii. RNAcentral's name for it is "bacterial SSU rRNA". It matches the Rfam family "Bacterial small subunit ribosomal RNA", at positions 100 to 839 of the family's 1533-position model. The record is from RNAcentral. Lineage: Bacteria; Pseudomonadati; Pseudomonadota; Alphaproteobacteria; Rhodobacterales; Roseobacteraceae.